AGUGGGAUAGCUGGGUCAAAUGGUUCCAUUUCCAGUUUUCCAAGGAAUCUCCAUACUGCUUUCCAUAUUGGCUGCACCAGUUUGCAGUCCCACCAGCAAU
RNAcentral lists this microRNA precursor (100 nucleotides) under Marmota monax (woodchuck). The record is from RNAcentral. Lineage: Eukaryota; Metazoa; Chordata; Mammalia; Rodentia; Sciuridae.